AGCAGACAGCAGAAGAGACUGUCAGCAGACCACCUUGGAGGGGAUGCUUGGAGCUGCCUAACGUGUGAUUCAAAGAUGAAUUCCAUGUGUUUGGAGAAGAAGCCCUAGCCUCAACACAAAGGUUGGCCACAUUCCAGCCAAGGUAGCACGGAGUGAAGGCCCGUGGAGGGAGAGCUGGGCUUUUCUGAACUACUUCAGUACACCUUGCUGUGCCUUGGCCUGCCGUGUUUCAUCCCCAUGGCUGUCCUCAGUGAUGUGCAUGGUCACUGCUCCCUUCACCACUGAGAAGACGGGCACAGGACAGUCAGGGGAUGUGUCCAAGGUCCCACAGCAGGAAGGGCUGGAGCCAGAAUGUGGUCUGAGAGGCUGGAUAUACAAAGAGACAAUGGCAUGACCAUCUGUACAAAUGGAACUAUGGCCCACAACCUGCAGCAGCCAGCCCAGGAAGCCAACCCGUCACCUGCAGCAGCCAGGAUGGAUGCUGGCCUGCCCUCAGGUGCCCUUGUUGGAGAACAUGGGGGGCCAAAUUCCAAACGUGGCAAGAGAUAACAAAUGACUUGUCUGGUGGCUGAACCCUGAGCUGGGAGCACUGCCUGGAGAAAACUAUGAAAUGCCUCAGGCCAACAUGCAAGCAAGCCUGGGAUCAGGAGAUGCUCAGGAUGGAACAAUCCACAAACUGAACCAGGCUGCCUGUCCACAGGUGCACUAACCACCUUCCCACCCAGGAAGGUGUUGGAACCCCACUCUCAAUGGAGAAAAGCUGAUACUCAAGUCUAGUUUUAUAUGGCUCCAAACGCCUCCACCAUGAGCUCAAGGCAGUGAGACUGACUGAAAAACCCUCUCUAUUACAGACCACAACAUUGAACCCAACAUCCCCCUAAGUAGGUUGUACUCACAUCAUUGGUCUUAUGGGGAAAUUUUAAGACCUCCCACUUGUAAGGUUUUAUAGCCCUCUAUGGAAUAUUGAAGAAAGAGUAAAAUGCAUCCAAAAAAAAAAAAAAACACUAAA
Molecule: long non-coding RNA, 1009 nt
Filed under: Homo sapiens (human)
Lineage: Eukaryota; Metazoa; Chordata; Mammalia; Primates; Hominidae
Description: long intergenic non-protein coding RNA 1304
Source: RNAcentral